UACGUAGGGUGCAAGCGUUAAUCGGAAUUACUGGGCGUAAAGCGUGCGCAGGCGGUUAUGUAAGACAGUUGUGAAAUCCCCGGGCUCAACCUGGGAACUGCAUCUGUGACUGCAUAGCUAGAGUACGGUAGAGGGGAUGGAAUUCCGCGUGUAGCAGUGAAAUGCGUAGAUAUGCGGAGGAACACCGAUGGCGAAGGCAAUCCCCUGGACCUGUACUGACGCUCAUGCACGAAAGCGUGGGGAGCAAACAGG
RNAcentral lists this ribosomal RNA (252 nucleotides) under uncultured bacterium. RNAcentral's name for it is "partial 16S ribosomal RNA". It matches the Rfam family "Bacterial small subunit ribosomal RNA", at positions 524 to 776 of the family's 1533-position model. The record is from RNAcentral.